GCCAGACUCCUACGGGAGGCAGCAGUAGGGAAUAUUGCACAAUGGGGGGAACCCUGAUGCAGCGACGCCGCGUGGGUGAAGGAGCGUUUCGGCGCGUAAAGCCCUAUCGGCAGGGAAGAAGGAGGACGGUACCUGACUAAGAAGCCCCGGCUAACUACGUGCCAGCAGCCGCGGUAAUACGUAGGGGGCAAGCGUUAUCCGGAUUUACUGGGUGUAAAGGGGGCGCAGACGGCAGCGCAAGCCAGGAGUGAAAGCCCGGGGCCCAGCCCCGGGACUGCUCUUGGAACUGCGCGGCUGGAGUGCAGGAGGGGCAGGCGGAAUUCCUGGUGUAGCGGUGAAAUGCGUAGAUAUCAGGAGGAACACCGGUGGCGAAGGCGGCCUGCUGGACUGCGACUGACGUUGAGGCCCAAAAGCGUGGGGAGCAAACAGGAUUAGAUACCCGUGUAAA
This 448-nucleotide ribosomal RNA is filed under the name uncultured bacterium. Its description in RNAcentral is "bacterial SSU rRNA". It matches the Rfam family "Bacterial small subunit ribosomal RNA", at positions 330 to 793 of the family's 1533-position model. The record is from RNAcentral.